This 1387-nucleotide ribosomal RNA is filed under the name metagenome. RNAcentral's name for it is "bacterial LSU rRNA". It matches the Rfam family "Bacterial large subunit ribosomal RNA", at positions 1521 to 2925 of the family's 2925-position model. The record is from RNAcentral.
GAGGCAGUCUAAAUAGGCAAAUCCGUUUAGAUAAUGCUAGGAUGUGAUGGGGAAGCCCUUCGGGGCGAAGUAGCUGAUUUCACACUGUCAAGAAAAGCUUCUAUCGAGUUUAAAGGCGCCCGUACCGUAAACCGACACAGGUGGGUGAGGAGAGUAUCCUAAGGCCAGCGAGAGAACUAUUGUUAAGGAACUCGGCAAAAUGACCCCGUAACUUAGGGAGAAGGGGUGCCUGUCUAUGACAGGCCGCAGAGAAUAGGCCCAAGCGACUGUUUACCAAAAACACAGGUUUCUGCUAAGUCGCAAGACGAUGUAUAGGAGCUGACGCCUGCCCGGUGCUGGAAGGUUAAGGGGAUCUGUUAGAGCAAUCGAAGCAGUGAACUUAAGCCCCAGUAGACGGCGGCCGUAACAAUAACGGUCCUAAGGUAGCGAAAUUCCUUGUCGGGUAAGUUCCGACCCGCACGAAAGGCGUAGCGAUUUGGGCACUGUCUCAACAAUAGACUCGGUGAAAUUGUAAUCCCGGUGAAGAUGCCGGGUACCUGCGACAGGACGGAAAGACCCCAUGGAGCUUUACUGUAGCUUGACGUUGGGUCUUGGUAGUACAUGUACAGGAUAGGUGGGAGACUAUGAAGCAUGGACGCCAGUCUGUGUGGAGUCAUCCUUGGGAUACCACCCUUGUAGUACUGGGAUCCUAACCAUAGGCCUUGAAUCAGGUCUUGGAACACCGUCAGGUGGGCAGUUUGACUGGGGCGGUCGCCUCCUAAAAAGUAACGGAGGCGCUCAAAGGUUUCCUCAGCACGGUCGGAAAUCGUGCGAAGAGUGUAAAGGCAAAAGGAAGCUUGAUUGCAAGACAUACAGGUCGAGCAAGGACGAAAGUCGGACUUAGUGAUCCGGUGGUACCGCAUGGAAGGGCCAUCGCUCAACGGAUAAAAGCUACCCUGGGGAUAACAGGCUUAUCUCCCCCAAGAGUCCACAUCGACGGGGAGGUUUGGCACCCCGAUGUCGGCUCAUCACAUCCUGGGGCUGUAGUAGGUCCCAAGGGUUGGGCUGUUCGCCCAUUAAAGUGGUACGCGUGCUGGGUUCAGAACGUCGUGAGACAGUUCGGUCCCUAUCCGUCGCAGGCGUAGGAAAUUUGAGAAGACCUGUCCUUAGUACGAGAGGACCGGGAUGGACGUACCUCUGGUGUACCAGUUGUUCUGCCAAGGGCAUGGCUGGGUAGCUAUGUACGGAAUGGAUGAGCGCUGAAAGCAUCUAAGCGCGAAGCCAACUUCAAGAUAAGAUUUCCCACCGUAAGGGUAAGACCCCAGGAAGACUACCUGGUUGAUAGGUCGAAGGUGUAAGUGCAGUAAUGUAUUUAGCUUAUCGAUACUAAUAGGUCGAGGACUUGAGC